Molecule: ribosomal RNA, 426 nt
Filed under: uncultured bacterium
Lineage: Bacteria
Description: bacterial SSU rRNA
Rfam family: Bacterial small subunit ribosomal RNA
Source: RNAcentral
AGGGAAUCUUCCGCAAUGGACGAAAGUCUGACGGAACAACGCCGCGUGAGUGAUGAAGGUUUUCGGAUCGUAAAACUCUGUUGUUAGGGAAGAACAAGUACCGUUCGAAUAGGGCGGUACCUUGACGGUACCUAACCAGAAAGCCACGGCUAACUACGUGCCAGCAGCCGCGGUAAUACGUAGGUGGCAAGCGUUGUCCGGAAUUAUUGGGCGUAAAGCGCGCGCAGGCGGUCUUUUAAGUCUGAUGUGAAAGCCCACGGCUCAACCGUGGAGGGUCAUUGGAAACUGGAAGACUUGAGUGCAGAAGAGGAGAGUGGAAUUCCACGUGUAGCGGUGAAAUGCGUAGAGAUGUGGAGGAACACCAGUGGCGAAGGCGACUCUCUGGGCUGUAACUGACGCUGAGGCGCGAAAGCGUGGGGAGCAAAC